UGGGGAAUCUUGCGCAAUGGUCGAAAGACUGACGCAGCGACGCCGCGUGCGGGAGGAAGCUCUUCGGGGUGUAAACCGCUGUUGCCCGGAACGAAACUCACCUUUCGAGGUGAUUGACGGUACCGGGUGAGGAAGCACCGGCUAACUCUGUGCCAGCAGCCGCGGUAAUACAGAGGGUGCGAGCGUUGUCCGGAAUCACUGGGCGUAAAGGGCGCGUAGGUGGCCACCAUAAGGCCGCGGUGAAAGUCUGGGGCUCAACCCCGGAUCGGCCGCGGCGACUGUGGGGCUCGGGUACCGUAGAGGCAGAUGGAAUUCCGGGUGUAGCGGUGGAAUGCGUAGAGAUCCGGAAGAACACCAGUGGCGAAGGCGGUCUGCUGGGCGGUGGACGCGAGAGCGUCCCUUGACCGACACUGAGGCGCGACAGCGUGGGGAGCAAACAGGAUUAGAUACCCCCGUAGUCC
This 461-nucleotide ribosomal RNA is filed under the name uncultured bacterium. Its description in RNAcentral is "bacterial SSU rRNA". It matches the Rfam family "Bacterial small subunit ribosomal RNA", at positions 355 to 796 of the family's 1533-position model. The record is from RNAcentral.